Molecule: ribosomal RNA, 253 nt
Filed under: uncultured bacterium
Lineage: Bacteria
Description: partial 16S ribosomal RNA
Rfam family: Bacterial small subunit ribosomal RNA
Source: RNAcentral
UACGGGGGGAGCGAACGUUGUUCGGAAUUACUGGGCGUAAAGGGCGUGCAGGCGGCCUUGUAAGUGGAAUGUGAAAUGCCCUGGCUCAACCAGGGAACUGCAUCCCAGACUGCAAGGCUUGAGUAUAGGAGAGGAUGGGGGAAUUCCCGGUGUAGCGGUGAAAUGCAUUGAUAUCGGGAGGAACACCAGUGGCGAAGGCGCCCAUCUGGCCUAAUACUGACGCUCAGGCGCGAAAGCUAGGGGAGCAAACAGG